This 108-nucleotide small nuclear RNA is filed under the name Stegodyphus mimosarum. Lineage: Eukaryota; Metazoa; Arthropoda; Arachnida; Araneae; Eresidae. The record is from RNAcentral.
UUACUUGCUUCCGCAGUAAAUUUACUAAAACUUGAACGAUAUAGAGAAGAUUAGAAUGACCAUUGCGGAAAGAUAACACACAAAAUCGUAAAGGUGCAACAUUUUCAU